Molecule: ribosomal RNA, 253 nt
Filed under: uncultured bacterium
Lineage: Bacteria
Description: partial 16S ribosomal RNA
Rfam family: Bacterial small subunit ribosomal RNA
Source: RNAcentral
CACGUAGGGCGCAAGCGUUGUCCGGAAUUAUUGGGCGUAAAGAGCUCGUAGGCGGUCUGUUGCGUCCGCUGUGAAAACUCGGGGCUUAACCCCGGGCCUGCAGUGGGUACGGGCAGACUAGAGUGCGGUAGGGGAGACUGGAAUUCCUGGUGUAGCGGUGGAAUGCGCAGAUAUCAGGAGGAACACCGGUGGCGAAGGCGGGUCUCUGGGCAGUAACUGACGAUGAGGAGCGAAAGCGUGGGGAGCGAACAGG